CGUUCCCGGGCCUUGUACACACCGCCCGUCACACCACGAAAGUCGGCAAUACCCGAAGCCGGUGGGCUAACCCUUUUGGGAGGCAGCCGUCGAAGGUAGGGUCGAUGAUUGGGGUG
This 116-nucleotide ribosomal RNA is filed under the name uncultured bacterium. RNAcentral's name for it is "partial 16S ribosomal RNA". It matches the Rfam family "Bacterial small subunit ribosomal RNA", at positions 1369 to 1482 of the family's 1533-position model. The record is from RNAcentral.